RNAcentral lists this ribosomal RNA (406 nucleotides) under uncultured bacterium. Its description in RNAcentral is "bacterial SSU rRNA". It matches the Rfam family "Bacterial small subunit ribosomal RNA", at positions 28 to 424 of the family's 1533-position model. The record is from RNAcentral.
AACGAACGUUGGCGGCGUGGAUGAGGCAUGCAAGUCGAACGCGAAAGCCGCAAGGUGAGUAGAGUGGCGGACGGGCGAGUAACACGUAAUCAAGCUACCUGCGAGACGGGAAUAACCUCGGGAAACCGAGGCUAAGACCCGAUGGUCUUCAUGGACCGCAUGGUCUGGGAAGUAAAUGGGCGGGAUCCUUCGGGAUCGCCUGCUCGCAGAGGUGAUUGCGGCCCAUCAGCUAGUUGGUAGGGUAAUGGCCUACCAAGGCAACGACGGGUAGCCGGCCUUAGAGGGUGGUCGGCCGCACUGGGACUGAGACACUGCCCAGACUCCUACGGGAGGCUGCAGUCGAGAAUCUUCCGCAAUGGGCGCAAGCCUGACGGAGCGACGCCGCGUGGAGGACGAAGGCCUGGUU